AUGAAAUUCUUACAACACAUUAGUCUAGAAGAUUGUAAGAAUCUUGUGGAACUUCCUGGUGGUAUUGCAAAGUUACAAGAACUGAGAUGUCUUGACCUUGAUCGCACAAGGCUAAUUAGUAUGCCUAGGGGUUUUGGUGCUCUAAAUUUUUUGAAGACAUUGUAUGGGUUCCUAGCUCACAUGGAUGGCAAUUGGUGUAGUUUGGAAGAGAUUGGACCUAUUUCCCAGCUUAGGCGCAUUGGAUUAGUGGGUCUGGAGAAUGUAACUGAUGCCGCAUUCGCCAAAAAGGCUAGGCUCGGUGAAAAGGUAUGUCUUUCCAUCAUGACCUUAAGCUGUAGCACCAGACUAGGUAAUUAUGGAUUAGUCAAAGAACGAGUCUUGGAGAAGGAUCAAGGAAUAAUUGAGAAGGUCUUUGAUGAGCUUUGUCCUCCAGCUCGCAUAGAAGAUAUCCAUAUAACUGGAUAUUUUUGGCGUCAACUCCCAAGAUGGAUGAUGUCGACAACAAUGAUACCCCUCAAUAGCUUGAGGAUAUUACAUAUGAAUGACUUGGAUUACUGCACCCACCUCCCUGAUGGCUUGUGUCAGAUUCCAUGUUUGGAGUUCUUGGAGCUCCGACAUGCUCCAACAAUCAAGUGUGUUGGGCCUGAAUUCGUGCAGGGCUACGAUCGCUGUCGUCAUGCUUCAUCCCAGGAGGUGUCUGCUUUUCCAAGACUGCACACAAUGAUUUUACAUGGAAUGUUGGAAUGGGAGGAGUGGCAGUGGGAGAAGGAAGUGCAAGCUAUGGCCGUCUUGAAAGAUCUUUUUCUUCAAAGUUGCAAAUUGAGGUGUAUCCCUUCUGGCCUUGCCACCCAUGCAAACACCAUGAAAAAGUUAACCAUCUACAGCAUUCGACAACUCCAUUAUAUAGAGAACUUUGCUUCUGUAGUUGAGCUCGACUUGUAUGAACUAUCCAACCUGACUAGGAUCUCCAAUUUCCCUAAAUUGCAAAAGCUUGAGAUUAAUCGGUGCCAAAAUCUCGAGUCACUGCAAGAGAUGAAUGCACUACGGAGAUUUGUGUUGACACUUCACUACAGUGAGACACAACUCCCGAUGUACCUGCAAACUGUAAAGCCAAGUCAGUUGCUGCUUGACAGCAGCCUAAGGGUACUCGCUUCCAUGGCUUUGGAGAAGUAUGGGGCCGGGUGGGAAAUGUUCAGUCAUAUCCGGCAUGUCGAGGCUUAUACCAAUGGUCAAGGCAUUGAAAAGAGAUGGCACCUAUUGUACACGAGCGAGCCCUACAGCAUGGAGACAAACAUUGACAUGGAGGAGUGCUCAUGGUCAUUUUCUAAAAAAGAAAAAGGGAGUGGUCAUGGUCCAAAUCAAAGUCUGAAGAUAAGGAGGGUGUAG
RNAcentral lists this ribosomal RNA (1386 nucleotides) under Triticum aestivum (bread wheat). Its description in RNAcentral is "partial small subunit ribosomal RNA". Lineage: Eukaryota; Viridiplantae; Streptophyta; Magnoliopsida; Poales; Poaceae. The record is from RNAcentral.